UAGGGAAUCUUCGGCAAUGGGGGCAACCCUGACCGAGCAACGCCGCGUGAGUGAAGAAGGUUUUCGGAUCGUAAAGCUCUGUUGUAAGAGAAGAACGUGUGUGAGAGUGGAAAGUUCACACAGUGACGGUAACUUACCAGAAAGGGACGGCUAACUACGUGCCAGCAGCAGCGGUAAUACGUAGGUCCCGAGCGUUGUCCGGAUUUAUUGGGCGUAAAGCGAGCGCAGGCGGUUUAAUAAGUCUGAAGUUAAAGGCAGUGGCUUAACCAUUGUUCGCUUUGGAAACUGUUAAACUUGAGUGCAGAAGGGGAGAGUGGAAUUCCAUGUGUAGCGGUGAAAUGCGUAGAUAUAUGGAGGAACACCGGUGGCGAAAGCGGCUCUCUGGUCUGUAACUGACGCUGAGGCUCGAAAGCGUGGGGAGCAAACAGG
RNAcentral lists this ribosomal RNA (429 nucleotides) under bacterium. RNAcentral's name for it is "partial 16S ribosomal RNA". It matches the Rfam family "Bacterial small subunit ribosomal RNA", at positions 355 to 776 of the family's 1533-position model. The record is from RNAcentral.